UACGGAGGGUGCAAGCGUUAUCCGGAAUUACUGGGUUUAAAGGGUGCGUAGGCGGCUUGAUAAGUCAGAGGUGAAAGCCUAUCGCUUAACGAUAGAAUUGCCUUUGAUACUGUAAAGCUUGAAAGGGGUUAAGGUCAGCAGAAUGUGGCAUGUAGCGGUGAAAUGCAUAGAUAUGCCAUAGAACACCGAUUGCGAAGGCAGCUGGCUGGGCGUACUUUGACGCUGAGGCACGAAAGCGUGGGGAGCGAACAGG
This 253-nucleotide ribosomal RNA is filed under the name uncultured bacterium. Its description in RNAcentral is "partial 16S ribosomal RNA". It matches the Rfam family "Bacterial small subunit ribosomal RNA", at positions 524 to 776 of the family's 1533-position model. The record is from RNAcentral.